CGACUUACGGUAGAAAAAUUAAA
RNAcentral lists this non-coding RNA (23 nucleotides) under Drosophila melanogaster (fruit fly). The record is from RNAcentral. Lineage: Eukaryota; Metazoa; Arthropoda; Insecta; Diptera; Drosophilidae.